GGACACUUUAGAGCUACCUGUCCGCAGAGCCUCACGCACUCACAAGCUGCCUCUCGGACGUGAUUGCCUCAUGGGCGUGGUACACCUGGGUUGUCAGGAGGUGGGAUCUGGGCUGAGAGAAAUCGCCUGGUUCAGGGCCUGGAAGCCUUCAUCUCACUGCCUCCGCUCCAUGGACUCUGCUUUCUGUCUGCCAGUCCCCUCUGCCAUGCUGCGCUGCCUUCGAGCUGCUGACUAGGGACUGAAACCUCUACAAAGUGUGAGCCGAGAUAAACCUCUCCUCGGUUAACUUGUGUGUGUCCGGUAGCGUGUCUCGGUGACCAAGUCACUCCCCUCGAGGUCCUGCCCUUGACACCUGCAGGGCACGGCCUGGUCGUCUCCAUGGCAAAAGUCUUUGGCCAUUCAUACCCGUGUCCAUCCGUUGCCUCGGCCUUUCUCUUCAGCCAUAGCAAGUGUCCUAGCAGAGGUUCUUCAGCCUUAGUCAGCCCACUUUAGCUUGCUCCUUUUCUUCCUCGUAGGCACAACAGGCAUUGGGCUCUCCCAUCCCAACAGCAGCAUAUGCAUCCUUUUCAACUGGAAUACAUUUUAAAGUGAUUUUUUUAAU
Molecule: non-coding RNA, 601 nt
Organism: Heterocephalus glaber (naked mole-rat)
Lineage: Eukaryota; Metazoa; Chordata; Mammalia; Rodentia; Bathyergidae
Source: RefSeq, a predicted model, not a curated record